CCUACGGGUGGCAGCAGUAGGGAAUAUUGCUCAAUGGGGGAAACCCUGAAGCAGCAACGCCGCGUGGAGGAUGAAGGUUUUCGGAUUGUAAACUCCGUUUGGUAGAGAAGAAAAGGACGGUAGCUAACGAAUAAGCACCGGCUAACUCCGUGACAGCAGCCGCGGGAAUACGGAGGGUGCAAGCGUUACUCGGAAUGACUGGGCGUAAAGAGAGCGUAGGCGGGAUAGCAAGUCAGAUGUGAAAGCCUAUGGCUUAACCAUAGAACUGCAUUUGAAACUGUUAUUCUAGAGUAUGGGAGAGGUAGGUGGCAUUCUUGGUGUAGCGGUCAAAUCCGUAGAGAUCACGAGGAAUUCUCAUUGCGAAGGCGACCUGCUAGAACAUAACUGACGCUGAUGCGCGAAAGCGUGGGGAGCAAACAGGAUUAGAUACCCGAGUAGUC
RNAcentral lists this ribosomal RNA (440 nucleotides) under uncultured bacterium. RNAcentral describes it as "partial 16S ribosomal RNA". It matches the Rfam family "Bacterial small subunit ribosomal RNA", at positions 338 to 795 of the family's 1533-position model. The record is from RNAcentral.